GCGGGUGUGGCGAAAUGGUAUACGCGUCAGGUUUAGGACCUGAUGAGAGAAAUCUCGUGCGGGUUCAAAUCCCGCCAUCCGCA
RNAcentral lists this transfer RNA (83 nucleotides) under Nitrospinota bacterium. RNAcentral's name for it is "tRNA-Leu". It matches the Rfam family "tRNA". Rfam says of the family: Transfer RNA (tRNA) molecules are approximately 80 nucleotides in length. Their secondary structure includes four short double-helical elements and three loops (D, anti-codon, and T loops). Further hydrogen bonds mediate the characteristic L-shaped molecular structure. tRNAs have two regions of fundamental functional importance: the anti-codon, which is responsible for specific mRNA codon recognition, and the 3' end, to which the tRNAs corresponding amino acid is attached (by aminoacyl-tRNA synthetases). tRNAs cope with the degeneracy of the genetic code in two manners: having more than one tRNA (with a specific anti-codon) for a particular amino acid; and 'wobble' base-pairing, i.e. permitting non-standard base-pairing at the 3rd anti-codon position. The record is from RNAcentral. Lineage: Bacteria; Pseudomonadati; Nitrospinota. RNAcentral also lists the same sequence under 2 other names.